ACGCACCAACGCGAAGCGGCGCCUACCCGCUCGCUUCCGUCCCCGACUCCCCCUCCCUCCCCAUCCUAUUCGCUCCGCCGCACCACCCACCCCAUCGCCCGCCUCGCGGAAUCCUCUCGUCUCCCGCCGCCGCCGCCACCGCCACCGCCACCGCCACCCCGGCCGGAGGCCACGCGCCCCACGCGGCCGCUCGAACCCGAGGUCAGAUCCAAACCCCAGCCCCGGGACCGAAUCGCGCCGCAGUUUUUCUAGGUUUUGGUACGGAUCUAGGGUUGGCCGCGGAAUUCCGGGGGCGGGGGCUAUUCGCUCGGAUUCCUCCGCGGCUCGGAUUUCGCGCUCAUGGCCGCCGGGCGCCACGGAGGGUACCGGGACUACGAGGCCAGGGAGCGGGAGCCCGACGCCGAGGCCGCCAGGAGGAGCCAGAGCCUCGGCGGCCGCCACCGGAGCGACGCCGACCGCCGCCGCGACGGCGUGCGCAGCAGCGGUGGCAGGGAAUUCUCAAACGGCUAUGGCCACCGCCGCUCGCACCCGCCCAAAAGCCGCCUCUCCACCAGGCUUGGGGACCGGGAGCCCGGCGAGGUGCUCAGCGGGAGCGCGUCAGACGACUCUGGUGGGAGGUCAGGCAGAGCGGCAGGGGAGAAUACCAUGUCCAGUUCUAGCAGGGAGGGUGAGGUGGCCGUGGGGGCGCCUGCUGCCCCUUCGCCCAGCAAAAAGAGGAAAUUUUCGCCGAUAAUUUGGGACAGGGAUAGCCCAAAGCCGCCGUCGUUACAUUCUGGUACAGUGACUCUGAAGGGAGUGGUGGAUUCCGCUUCUGCUGAUACAGCAAGUGACAAGAAAGUGGUGGAGUCCUCCUCUGCUCAACUCCCUCCCCCUCCCCCGCUGCCACCACAGGGGCACAUCCCAGAGAGGUUGGUCGUGGACAAUUCACCAAUGGAUGUGGACCUUGCCGUUGACACUGACAACACUGAGCAGUUGCACGUGCUGCAGGAUAGUAAAGUGCUUGAGGUAGAGGAGAGUAAAGUGAAGGAGGAAGAGGAGAGUAAAGUAAAGGAGGAAGAGGAGUACCCAACAAUGCGGAACAUAUCAACUUCAAGGUGGGCAGGUGCUAACGAUGACGACGAGGAGGGUGUAACACUGAGGAAGAAGAAAGUCUUAUCUCCUGCAGAUUCCGCUGAGCUGGGGCAGGGUAAGAAGACUCCUACACCAGAACUUGGGGAGGUUGUGACCAGUGAUAUGUCUGGACGGAGGACCAUGUCAAGGUCAUCUGAUUCAGGGAGAAUGGGUAACGAUGAGAAGGAAGAUUUGGAAUUAGGUAAAGGUGACUACAUGGAUGUUGAUAGAGGGGAGGCUAGUGUUAAUGGUUCAGCUAAUCUUCUAUCUUCUGAUUCGGAGGAUGAAGUGCGCAGGUCUGAAACCCCUGAGCCAGUGAAGCCGGCUCAUCGAUGUAUCAAUAUGCUGCAAGGUUGCAGAAGUGUUGAUGUGUUUGAGAGGCUCAACAAGAUUAAUGAAGGCACCUAUGGUGUUGUAUAUCGAGCAAAGGAUAAGAAGACUGCUGAGAUUGUUGCAUUGAAGAAGGUCAAGAUGGAAAAGGAGAGAGAAGGUUUCCCGUUGACCUCUCUUAGGGAAAUCAACAUCCUUUUAUCUUUCCAUCACCCUUCAAUUGUUGACGUUAAGGAAGUAGUAGUUGGCAGUAGUCUUGAUAGUAUUUUUAUGGUGAUGGAGUACAUGGAGCAUGAUCUUAAGGGUGUCAUGGAGACAAUGAAGCAGCCAUAUACCCAAAGUGAGGUCAAAUGCUUAAUGCUUCAGCUAUUAGAGGGUGUAAAAUAUCUUCAUGACAAUUGGGUACUUCAUAGGGAUUUGAAGACUUCAAAUCUAUUGCUGAAUAACCGUGGUGAGUUGAAAAUAUGUGAUUUUGGACUGUCUCGUCAAUAUGGGAGCCCACUAAAACCUUAUACUCAAUUGGUUGUGACUUUGUGGUACAGGUCACCUGAACUAUUGCUAGGAACAAAGGAAUACUCUACUGCUAUUGACAUGUGGUCCGUGGGCUGCAUUAUGGCAGAGCUUCUCGCCAAAGAACCACUGUUCAAUGGGAAAACAGAGUUUGAACAGCUAGACAAGAUAUUUAGAACACUUGGCACACCUAAUGAGAAGAUAUGGCCUGGUUAUGCCAAGUUACCUGGUGUCAAAGUCAACUUUGUUAAACAACCAUUAAGGGAUAAGUUCCCAGCUGCGUCUUUUUCUGGGCGUCCAAACCUAUCUGAAGCUGGUUUUGAUCUGUUGAAUAAGCUCUUAACUUAUGAUCCUGCGAAGCGUAUAUCAGCUGAGGCUGCAUUGGAGCAUCCAUGGUUCAGUGAAGUACCUCUACCUAAGUCGAAGGACUUCAUGCCAACAUUUCCAGCUCUAAACGAACUGGACAGGCGUACCAGACGGUAUAUGAAGAGUCCUGAUCCUCUAGAGGAGCAACGGUUGAAAGAACUGCAAGCAAAAGGCAACCGUGGCCUUUUCGGCUGAGCUCAAACCGCUUGCUUGGGUUUUGUUCGUACUGACUGCUAUACUUCAACCUGAAUCAGUGAGGUCAGAUGGCUUCUGAGGUGAGAUGUGCCAUGGACAUGAAGUAUCAGAUCUUCUUGGUGUCUUCAAGCAACUGACAGCGUUCUUUAGCAGGCUUUGUGCUUAGUGACUUGUGGCCCAUCAUAGAAUUCUGUUCACAGGAUUAGCACUCCGACCAGAUUGAUCAUGAAAGCAGAUCUAACCUGCCUCCAUCGUAAGGUUUGGCCUGUUGGCUUUAUUGGCUACACACUUUACACCUGUUUCACCUUUGGAACCUAUGUAUGUAAAAUAUUCCAGAUUGGUACGUUGUAAACAAUGCUCAGUGUGUUGGAUUUACAAUAAGAUUAUAAGAAUCUAUCAUUUUUUUCUCUCUGCUCCUAUAGUGCUCUUUUCUUUUGAUUUUUGCAUUUUGUUUGCAAGAAAUGAAAGUGGCGAAGGGGAAGGAUGCCUUUAGCUUUUCUUCAGGAAAUCAUGGACAGUAAUACAACUUGAAAGCUUAAGCUGUGGCUGCUUCAAGAGGAAGCUUGAUGGCCGCCAGCUUGUUGUACCUAAGUGACUAAAUUUUGUGGGAGGUCUUGAAGUGUAUUCAUCUGUUACUUGAGUGAGCCAUAGUGGUCACUGGUCAGUUUACUAUCCUUCCUUGUUUAUUAAUGCACCAUAUUCAUCCAACUGUUUUUUGGGGAUGGUCAUCUGUUAUUUGUUUGCAUGGAGUAUGGUUUUUGUUGAACUUUCAUUUCGUCCUCUCCCAUAUGGCCGACACUUUGUUUUCUAUUUGAAAUAUCUCCUUGACUGAUGUAAAUGCCACAACAUUGGCAUUGUUUACUCACCUCCACGAAAUUGAGGCUAUUUAGAUUAGUGAGGGAGGUCAAAAUUAGGAUGAAAUACUAGUGUUGCGUGCUCUCUGUUCCCCACUUUGGUUAUGGUAGCCUGGUUGUUUUGAUGGGCCACAUUUGGAACAAACGUUUGGCAUGCUCUUUGGGGAUGCUUAACUGCUUAUGGUUCUCGAUGUUCUUGUAGUAGUGUUUUCUUGUCAUGGGUUUACAUGAGCUGCCCUUGCCACUACAAAUGUUCAAUUGCUACUUGCCACUUCAUUCUGUAUGACGUUGGUGAUUCGGAGUUUUGCGUUGUCGAAUGUGAUGAUCAAUUUCUUGCCCAUUUGUUUGCCUCUUAUUUUAGUUUCAGUUCUUGCGGAAGAUAUAUCAGCCCAUCAGCAGGCUUGAGUAUGUUUUUGCGAUAUAAACAUCUGCGUAGUUGCAGUGGUGUCGGCGCGCAGAAUAGAAAGAUUGCAGUGGUAACUACGGUCUAUUCCCUCUGUUCGCAAAUAUAAGAUGUUUUACAUAUUUCAAUAUGGACUGAAAUGAAUGAACAAAGACACUAAAAUGUGUCUAUAUACUUGAAUCAGAAAAUGGUUAGAACAUCUCAGGACCGGAAUUGAAUUACUGACAGAGGGAGUACAUUAUAACCUAUGUUGGUAACUGAGAACUCGUAGAGUGGGGUUUUUGUUGGUGGCUACACAUUGAAACUUUUUAUUUGUUUGAGUUGACAAAGUUUUGUAGCACUGUUUUUUUGUUGCCUGGACCUCACGAAUGCCAUUACAUCACGACUAGGACAAGUAAUAUGGAUCGGAGGGAGUAGUAGAAAACAAAGCAACAUUUGUUGGCAAUGUUUUAGGAAGUUUUUUUUUUGGAUUUCACUGCUUAUCCAAUGUGCAUGUGUUCCCGGGAUCAGAGUUGCACUUCUGAGGCUCGUCACUUUAUGGAAGAGCAGGAUGCUUCUUCUAGCAUUUACACCCGACCUCAUGCUCCUGGUGAACAGUAAAAUCAUGAAAAAUAGAAAAAAAAAAGAAAAAAACUUAUGUUUUUUUUGUGUUAACCUUGGACAAAAUGUUCUACUCCCUCUUCCCUGUAAUAUAAGAACGAGAAAAGGUUCUUAUAUUAUGGGACGGAGGGAGUAUUGCUUGCAAAAAUUUAUCAGGAACGAGCAUUCCUGGAAGUUGUGGCAAAAAGAACAAAAUCGACAUUCCAAAACUGCUAUUUUUGAAAUUAUUUUGGAGUAUUGAUUUUUUUUUUGCCAUGACUUCCAUUUUGUGAUGAAAAUUUGCAAGGGUAGAAAUAUUUUGUCAAAGGUUACCAAAAAAAUUCAGCACUUAAAAAAAUCAUUUUCUUUUGGUUUUACUGUUUGGCUCAUUUGAGCUUGCGAGCAGAAGAAUGCUUUCGGCUUCUUUACUUUUACUAGUCCGUGAUAUAAGGGCCUCUUUGAUUCGCAGGAUUUUAAAAAUGUAGGAAUAAAAAAAGUAUAGGAUUGGGGUGGCAUGCCAAAUUAAAUCCUAUAAGAUUAGCAAGGAGUGUUUGAUGCCAUAUGGAAAACAAAAGGAAUUAUAAAAAAAGAUUGGAGUGGAUGUUAGAAUUUUCAUGAAAUGUAGUAUAAAAGAUCCAAUAGGAAAAAUUUCUAUGGUAUCUAAUCCUAUGAAUCAAAGGACCAACAUAGGAAAAAUUUCUAAGGAUUUCAAUCGUUCAGAAAUCCUAUAGAAUUCCUUUGAAUCAAAGGAGCCCUAAAUAGUUCUCUUGUAUAACAAGCAGCCUGAUAUCGGUCUCCUCGCUGGACGUGAACUGCCAUAGUGCCAUUCCGUGUCUUUGUUGCACUCCCCGCUGAACCAUGGGUUCGAGUCUUCUGGAUUGCCAUAGUUGAGUAAUCUUGUUGCUCACCACCCAUUGGCGUGGGCUUGUGUAGACUCCAUUAUUUGCAGGUCGACGGGGAUAUGACCAAGCAAGGAGCACGGGAUGACUCAAGCAAUACUACUCCGCUGCAGCGCACACUCGAUGUGAUAUUAUUAAUGUACAAAUGUAAAUAGCUCGUUAAUUAGUUAAGAUAAUCAAAUACUUCCAUGGGUGCAUAUAUAUGUUACUGAAAGAACGUUUCACGGUGAGACAGUAAAAUGUGGUCGUUGGGCGGUGCACGCUCCCCAGAACCACAGUGUUUCUCGCCGACAUGACUCACUGCUGUCGAUAGAGUAGAUGUGGUUGUCACGUGUGAUGCGCACGUGGUAACCAACCAAAGGGCCUCGCUGGAACAUAUGGUCCCGGCAGUUAAAAAACAUCGAGACGUACAAGCACUUCGCGGAACACUAUCU
RNAcentral lists this ribosomal RNA (5680 nucleotides) under Triticum aestivum (bread wheat). RNAcentral's name for it is "partial small subunit ribosomal RNA". The record is from RNAcentral. Lineage: Eukaryota; Viridiplantae; Streptophyta; Magnoliopsida; Poales; Poaceae.